RNAcentral lists this long non-coding RNA (550 nucleotides) under Malus domestica (apple). RNAcentral describes it as "long non-coding RNA (MDOM_LNC007619)". Lineage: Eukaryota; Viridiplantae; Streptophyta; Magnoliopsida; Rosales; Rosaceae. The record is from RNAcentral.
GAAGCUCCUUGUGGUCCAAUUUCAACCUUCAAGAUCAAGCCUCAACGGCCCUUGAAGAAAUUUCAAAUGAAAGUUCAAGAACAAGCCUCAACGGCCCUUGAAGAAAUCUCCAGCCCAAUUCAAGAUCAAGCCUCGAAUGGCCCUUGGAUCGACAUCUACAAUAAGGGACUUCAAAACGCAUCUUCUACACGUGACAAGCACAUGUAUACAACGCGCCUUGAAGUGGGGGCAUUUGUAGACAUCGAAAUUUCGGUAAAAUAAAUGUUGAUCAAAAAUUAAAAUUUCAAUGUUUAUGUGUCACAUAAAUUUUACACAUAGCAUGUGACUAAACGAAAAAUCAAAAUAAAUUGGAAAAGUCAUCAAACAGGACACGUGUCAACACCUGGCAGAGAUGAUUUAUUCCAUCUAAUUAUUUAAAUCCAAAAAAUCAAGUUUUGGAAUUCUAUAAAUAGGAGGCCAAGGCAUUCAUUUUGGGGACACCAAUUCAUAACCAAUUCACUUCAUAUCAAAACCUUGAAGCUUUGAAACUCAAAAGCUCCCAAGCAAAUCC